GUGGGGAAUCUUGCGCAAUGGGCGAAAGCCUGACGCAGCCAUGCCGCGUGAAUGAUGAAGGUCUUAGGAUUGUAAAAUUCUUUCACCGGGGACGAUAAUGACGGUACCCGGAGAAGAAGCUCCGGCUAACUUCGUGCCAGCAGCCGCGGUAAUACGAAGGGGGCUAGCGUUGCUCGGAAUUACUGGGCGUAAAGGGCGCGUAGGCGGACAGCUUAGUCAGAGGUGAAGGCCCAGGGCUCAACCUUGGAAUUGCCUUUGAUACUGGCUGUCUUGAGUUUGGGAGAGGUGAGUGGAACUCCGAGUGUAGAGGUGAAAUUCGUAGAUAUUCGGAAGAACACCAGUGGCGAAGGCGACUCACUGGCCCAAUACUGACGCUGAGGCGCGAAAGCGUGGGGAGCAAACAGGAUUAGAAACCCCGGUAGUCC
RNAcentral lists this ribosomal RNA (425 nucleotides) under uncultured bacterium. RNAcentral describes it as "partial 16S ribosomal RNA". It matches the Rfam family "Bacterial small subunit ribosomal RNA", at positions 354 to 796 of the family's 1533-position model. The record is from RNAcentral.